UUUCCGUAGGUGAACCUGCGGAAGGAUCAUUCCUAAUCAGUGAUUUAUGACACUUUUUUAAAUCUAUAUAUACCUUGUGUGCAAUGUUAGGGCUGAUCGUUCUCUCGAGAGCAUCAGCACCAAACAUCAACGAUUGCUCAACUUUUUGUCUGAAAAAUAUAAUAAAUAAAACAAUUCAAAAUACAACUUUCAACAACGGAUCUCUUGGCUCUG
RNAcentral lists this unclassified non-coding RNA (213 nucleotides) under plant metagenome. RNAcentral's name for it is "partial contains small subunit ribosomal RNA, internal transcribed spacer 1, and 5.8S ribosomal RNA". The record is from RNAcentral.